UACAGAGACUGCAAGCGUUAUUCGGAUUCACUGGGCGUAAAGGGUGCGCAGGCGGCCAAGUGUGUGAGGCGUGAAAGCCUGGGGCUUAACCCCAGAAUUGCACCUCAAACUACUUGGCUAGAGCAUUGGAGAGGGUAGCAGAAUUCAUGGUGUAGCAGUGAAAUGCGCAGAUAUCAGGAAGAACACCCGUGGCGAAGGCGGCUCUCUGGGACGGUACUGACGCUGAGACGCGAAAGCGUGGGGAGCAAACAGG
This 253-nucleotide ribosomal RNA is filed under the name uncultured bacterium. Its description in RNAcentral is "partial 16S ribosomal RNA". It matches the Rfam family "Bacterial small subunit ribosomal RNA", at positions 524 to 776 of the family's 1533-position model. The record is from RNAcentral.